AACUGAUACUACCUGCGGGAACCUGCGGAGGGAUCAUUACCGAGUUAUACAACUCCCAAACCCACUGUGAACCUUACCUCAGUUGCCUCGGCGGGAACGCCCCGGCCGCCUGCCCCCGCGCCGGCGCCGGACCCAGGCGCCCGCCGCAGGGACCCCAAACUCUCUUGCAUUACGCCCAGCGGGCGGAAUUUCUUCUCUGAGUUGCACAAGCAAAAACAAAUGAAUCAAAACUUUUAACAA
Molecule: unclassified non-coding RNA, 240 nt
Filed under: soil metagenome
Description: partial contains 5.8S ribosomal RNA, internal transcribed spacer 2, and large subunit ribosomal RNA
Source: RNAcentral